Molecule: ribosomal RNA, 497 nt
Filed under: uncultured bacterium
Lineage: Bacteria
Description: partial 16S ribosomal RNA
Rfam family: Bacterial small subunit ribosomal RNA
Source: RNAcentral
GAUGAACGCUGGCGGCGUGCCUAAUACAUGCAAGUCGAGCGAACAGACGAGGAGCUUGCUCCUCUGACGUUAGCGGCGGACGGGUGAGUAACACGUGGAUAACCUACCUAUAAGACUGGGAUAACUUCGGGAAACCGGAGCUAAUACCGGAUAAUAUAUUGAACCGCAUGGUUCAAUAGUGAAAGACGGUUUUGCUGUCACUUAUAGAUGGAUCCGCGCCGCAUUAGCUAGUUGGUAAGGUAACGGCUUACCAAGGCGACGAUGCGUAGCCGACCUGAGAGGGUGAUAGGCCACACUGGAACUGAGACACGGUCCAGAAUCCUAAGGGAGGCAGCAGUAGGGAAUCUUCAGCAAUGGGCGAAAGCCUGACGGAGCAACGCCGCGUGAGUGAUGAAGGUCUUCGGAUCGUAAAACUCUGUUAUUAGGGAAGAACAAAUGUGUAAGUAACUAUGCACGUCUUGACGGUACCUAAUCAGAAAGCCACGGCUAACUACGUG